UUAUGCUGGAAACCCGAGACUUUUGAC
Molecule: non-coding RNA, 27 nt
Filed under: Bombyx mori (domestic silkworm)
Lineage: Eukaryota; Metazoa; Arthropoda; Insecta; Lepidoptera; Bombycidae
Source: RNAcentral